GCAUAUCAAUAAGCGGAGGAAAAGAAACUAACAAGGAUUCCCCUAGUAACUGCGAGUGAAGCGGGAAAAGCUCAAAUUUUGAAUCUGGCAGUCUUUGCAGGCCGUCCGAGUUGUAAUCUAGAGAAGCGUCUUCCGCGCCGGCCUGUGUACAAGUCUCCUGGAAGGGAGCGUCAUAGAGGGUGAGAAUCCCGUCUCUGACACGGACCACCGGUGCUAUGUGAUGCGCUCUCGACGAGUCGAGUUGUUUGGGAAUGCAGCUCAAAAAGGGUGGUAAACUCCAUCUAAAGCUAAAUAUUGGCGAGAGACCGAUAGCGAACAAGUACCGUGAGGGAG
This 333-nucleotide ribosomal RNA is filed under the name Boletus edulis. Its description in RNAcentral is "eukaryotic LSU rRNA". It matches the Rfam family "Eukaryotic large subunit ribosomal RNA", at positions 38 to 361 of the family's 3401-position model. Lineage: Eukaryota; Fungi; Basidiomycota; Agaricomycetes; Boletales; Boletaceae. The record is from RNAcentral.